This 126-nucleotide small RNA is filed under the name Marmota monax (woodchuck). The record is from RNAcentral. Lineage: Eukaryota; Metazoa; Chordata; Mammalia; Rodentia; Sciuridae.
GCUGGGUGUGGUGGCGCACACCUGUAAUCCCCAUGACUCAGGAGGCUGAGGCAGGAGGAUCUCAAAUUCAAAGCCAGCCUCAGCAAAAAGCAAGGCCCUAAGCAACUCAGUGAGACCUUGUCUCUA